UUGUUGUGAAGCACCGACGAGACGGCGGCCAAGGAGUGGAUGUCGUACAUGAAGAAGGUGGCGAAUGAUUCGGCGAGGAUUUCACUAUGCCCAAUCCACAUCAGUCGUUCGCUCCGAUCCGCGGAAUGCAGGCGGCCUGGUUCGUGGACGGUGCCAGUUAUAUGGUGCCGUGCGGAUGCUCUGGAAGGUCGACGGAGGAGAUAUUUAUUACGGACUGGAUGCUGAGCCGAGAUUCAUAUGAAACGACCAGCUAUCGAUGGAAUUAUUGGCGAUUGGAUAAAAUUCUGAAACGUAAGGCGGAACAAGGAAUCAAAAUCUUUACUAUUAUUCAAAGAGCUUGAUUUUGCACUUGGAUCAAUAGCUACUACAGCAAGCAGAAGUUGUUGAACAGCACGAAAAUAUCAAGUUCUGGCGUCAUCCGGAUCAUGCGCGAGCAGGUGUAUUCUUCUGGGCGCAUCACGAAAAGCUGUGUUGUAGAUCAGACGUAUGCUUCGUUGGAGGAAUUGAUCUUUGCUACGGUCGCUGGGACGACUAUAAGCAUCGAUGACCGAUCUGGAAGUAUCUCCAGUAGUAAUUGUAGUUCAGUGAACAACACAACGAUCCGCAAACCUUCGACGUCGUAGAACUGGAUGAGGGUGGCACGGUAGCUAAUUUGCUGCGAGCAUCGAAGAGCAAUUGCGGAGAUCACCGCGUUGGACAAGGUGGAUAUUAAACUUCCCACCUUGGAACCUGGCGAUAAGCACUUAUGCGGCAGCCAAAAGCUCGCUUCCAACACACGAAAAAUGAAAGCGAUGAGAUACCGGAAAACAUCAAGAAGGAUACCCAGAGAUGGAGCGGAAGAAUAUAAUGGGCAAAAUCAAGGACAUGGGAAGAGAUCUGAAAAAAUAGGAUAACACUAAACGAGCAUGACGCAGAAUACGGAAUGAAAAGUACUCCGGGUAGCCCGGGAUAUCUUUCCGAUGAUGAAAAGAAGCAAAGCUCUGUGAAAAGGCUACAAAGACAGAUGCGCCAUCACCAGCAGGAGUAAUGAGUCCUGCGCCGUUCAAAAGUAAGGUUUUAUUCGAGCUAGAUGGACAAGCCAAAUUUUGGAUAGGGAAGGAUUACAUCAACUUUAUAGUGAAGGAUUUCAUCAACCUGACAUGCCUUAUGUUGAUCUUGUUGACCGAUCAACGACUGUUCGCAUGCCUUGGCACGACGUAGCAACUGUAGUCUACGGACAGGCAGCUCGGGACGUGGCACGACAUUUCAUAGAGCGCUGGAACGCUGUCAAAAUUAGAAAAGUGUCGGGAAAGUCUACAGUAUCCGUAUCUGCUGCCGAAAAGCUACAAUGACAUUCGGAUAGACAAUGAAUUCUUGAACAUCUCUCUACAGCACGUAACUUGCCAAGUAUUGCGAAGUGCAUCCAGUUGAAUUGUGGUUUUAUUGAACAGGACUAUGUGGAGCAGAGCAUCCACGAGCCUACGUUCAGACGAUUUCCAAGCACAGCACUAUAUCUACAUUGAGAAUCAGUUCUUCAUCAGCAUGGAGAUGGGAAACUCUACGGUGAAGAACCAGAUUGCAGAGUACCUGUUCAAGCGGAUAAUGCGCGCUCACAGGGAGAAGAAGGCAUUCCGUGUGUACGUCGUGAUGCCUCUGUUACCGGCUUUGAAGAGAAGUCGGUGGUGCUAGUGAAUCUCUCUACGAGCUAUAACCCAUUGGAAACUAUGCUUCCAUAUGCCGCGGUAAAAACUCUCUACUCUCGCGACUGUACGUCGCCGGAAUCAAGAAUCCCUCCGAGUACAUUUCGUUCCACAGUCUGCGGACGAUUCCCUGCUGAAUGGAGUCCCAGUGACGGAACUGAUCUAUGUCCAUUCCAAGCUGUUGAUUGCUGAUGACAAGGUCGUCAUCUGUGGCUCGGCAAA
RNAcentral lists this long non-coding RNA (1901 nucleotides) under Aedes aegypti (yellow fever mosquito). RNAcentral describes it as "lncRNA AAEL024341". Lineage: Eukaryota; Metazoa; Arthropoda; Insecta; Diptera; Culicidae. The record is from RNAcentral.